GAUGAACGCUGGCGGCGUGCCUAAUACAUGCAAGUCGAGCGAACGGACGAGAAGCUUGCUUCUCUGAUGUUAGCGGCGGACGGGUGAGUAACACGUGGAUAACCUACCUAUAAGACUGGGAUAACUUCGGGAAACCGGAGCUAAUACCGGAUAAUAUUUUGAACCGCAUGGUUCAAAAGUGAAAGACGGUCUUGCUGUCACUUAUAGAUGGAUCCGCGCUGCAUUAGCUAGUUGGUAAGGUAACGGCUUACCAAGGCAACGAUGCAUAGCCGACCUGAGAGGGUGAUCGGCCACACUGGAACUGAGACACGGUCCAGACUCCUACGGGAGGCAGCAGUAGGGAAUCUUCCGCAAUGGGCGAAAGCCUGACGGAGCAACGCCGCGUGAGUGAUGAAGGUCUUCGGAUCGUAAAACUCUGUUAUUAGGGAAGAACAUAUGUGUAAGUAACUGUGCACAUCUUGACGGUACCUAAUCAGAAAGCCACGGCUAACUACGUGCCAGCAGCCGCGGUAAUACGUAGGUGGCAAGCGUUAUCCGGAAUUAUUGGGCGUAAAGCGCGCGUAGGCGGUUUUUUAAGUCUGAUGUGAAAGCCCACGGCUCAACCGUGGAGGGUCAUUGGAAACUGGAAAACUUGAGUGCAGAAGAGGAAAGUGGAAUUCCAUGUGUAGCGGUGAAAUGCGCAGAGAUAUGGAGGAACACCAGUGGCGAAGGCGACUUUCUGGUCUGUAACUGACGCUGAUGUGCGAAAGCGUGGGGAUCAAACAGGAUUAGAUACCCUGGUAGUCCACGCCGUAAACGAUGAGUGCUAAGUGUUAGGGGGUUUCCGCCCCUUAGUGCUGCAGCUAACGCAUUAAGCACUCCGCCUGGGGAGUACGACCGCAAGGUUGAAACUCAAAGGAAUUGACGGGGACCCGCACAAGCGGUGGAGCAUGUGGUUUAAUUCGAAGCAACGCGAAGAACCUUACCAAAUCUUGACAUCCUUUGACAACUCUAGAGAUAGAGCUUUCCCCUUCGGGGACAAAGUGACAGGUGGUGCAUGGUUGUCGUCAGCUCGUGUCGUGAGAUGUUGGGUUAAGUCCCGCAACGAGCGCAACCCUUAAGCUUAGUUGCCAUCAUUAAGUUGGGCACUCUAAGUUGACUGCCGGUGACAAACCGGAGGAAGGUGGGGAUGACGUCAAAUCAUCAUGCCCCUUAUGAUUUGGGCUACACACGUGCUACAAUGGACAAUACAAAGGGCAGCGAAACCGCGAGGUCAAGCAAAUCCCAUAAAGUUGUUCUCAGUUCGGAUUGUAGUCUGCAACUCGACUACAUGAAGCUGGAAUCGCUAGUAAUCGUAGAUCAGCAUGCUACGGUGAAUACGUUCCCGGGUCU
This 1371-nucleotide ribosomal RNA is filed under the name uncultured bacterium. Its description in RNAcentral is "bacterial SSU rRNA". It matches the Rfam family "Bacterial small subunit ribosomal RNA", at positions 28 to 1381 of the family's 1533-position model. The record is from RNAcentral.